RNAcentral lists this transfer RNA (85 nucleotides) under Felis catus (domestic cat). It matches the Rfam family "tRNA". Rfam says of the family: Transfer RNA (tRNA) molecules are approximately 80 nucleotides in length. Their secondary structure includes four short double-helical elements and three loops (D, anti-codon, and T loops). RNAcentral also lists the same sequence under 2 other names. Lineage: Eukaryota; Metazoa; Chordata; Mammalia; Carnivora; Felidae. The record is from Rfam by way of RNAcentral.
GCCUGGGUGGCUCAGUCGGUUGAGCGUCCGACUUCGGCUCAGGUCAUGAUCUCACGGUUCGUGGGUUUGAGCCCCACGUCGGGCU